GACGUAGGGGGCCAGCGUUGUUCGGAAUUACUGGGUGUAAAGGGUUCGUAGGCGGUGCGGCAAGUUGGGAGUGAAAUCUCUGGGCUUAACCCAGAGGCUGCUUCCAAAACUGCUGUGCUUGAGUGUGGGAGAGGCGCGUGGAAUUGCAGGUGUAGCGGUGAAAUGCGUAGAUAUCUGCAGGAACACCCGUGGCGAAAGCGGCGCGCUGGACCACUACUGACGCUGAGACGCGAAAGCGUGGGGAGCGAACAGG
RNAcentral lists this ribosomal RNA (253 nucleotides) under uncultured bacterium. Its description in RNAcentral is "partial 16S ribosomal RNA". It matches the Rfam family "Bacterial small subunit ribosomal RNA", at positions 524 to 776 of the family's 1533-position model. The record is from RNAcentral.